GAUGAACGCUAGCGGCAGGCCUAACACAUGCAAGUCGAGGGGCAGCACAUAAAGUGGUUUACUACUUUUGGUGGCGACCGGCGGACGGGUGCGUAACGCGUAUGCAACCUGCCUCCAACAGGGGGAUAACGGAGAGAAAUUUCCACUAAUACCCCAUAAUAUCAGAAUCGGCAUCGGUUUUGGUUGAAAACUCCGGUGGUUGGAGAUGGGCAUGCGUUGUAUUAGAUAGUUGGUGAGGUAACGGCUCACCAAGUCAACGAUACAUAGGGGGACUGAGAGGUUAGCCCCCCACACUAGUACUGAGACACGGACCAGACUCCUACGGGAGGCAGCAGUGAGGAAUAUUGGUCAAUGGGGGCAACCCUGAACCAGCCAUGCCGCGUGCAGGAAGACGGCUCUAUGAGUUGUAAACUGCUUUUACAAGGGGAUAAAUCGGUGUUCGUGUACACCGUUGAAGGUACCUUGGGAAUAAGGAUCGGCUAACUCCGUGCCAGCAGCCGCGGUAA
Molecule: ribosomal RNA, 506 nt
Filed under: uncultured bacterium
Lineage: Bacteria
Description: partial 16S ribosomal RNA
Rfam family: Bacterial small subunit ribosomal RNA
Source: RNAcentral